This 220-nucleotide ribosomal RNA is filed under the name Staphylococcus aureus. RNAcentral's name for it is "partial 16S ribosomal RNA". It matches the Rfam family "Bacterial small subunit ribosomal RNA", at positions 1277 to 1494 of the family's 1533-position model. Lineage: Bacteria; Bacillati; Bacillota; Bacilli; Caryophanales; Staphylococcaceae. The record is from RNAcentral.
UAAAGCCAGUCUCAGUUCGGAUCGUAGUCUGCAAUUCGACUACGUGAAGUCGGAGUCGCUAGUAAUCGCAGAUCAGCAACGCUGCGGUGAAUACGUUCCCGGGCCUUGUACACACCGCCCGUCAAGUCACGAAAGUCGGUAACACCCGAAGCCGGUGUCCCAACCCUUGUGGAGGGGGCCGUCUAAGGUGGGACUGGUGAUUGGGACUAAGUCGUAACAA